UGUCGGUGGAACCUUCUAGGUGGUCAGCAGACCACCGUUCGUGUUUUGAAGCCACUACUGCCUUUCAGGAGUCUGGCUUUGCACCCGGGGCCGCUGCUGCCUUUUGCGGGUUUAAGCACCUACCCACUCCUUGGGGGUGAGGGGUAGAAGAAAAGUUUAGAAACCCACUGAUCUCCACCUCUGGGGUGACUGAACUGGUUGAUUCUGUGUGCAUUCAGCCAAGGAAAAAAAAAUAUCACGAAUGCCCAAGAGCCAGGGGUUGAUAUUGAGGGCAGCGAGAUGAGGUUGGGCACUGGGUUCCGGAGCUGCGCCACUCGGGAGUGCGAGUUACAUCACCACCACCAGCAUAGAAACUCGGUGGGUGAACCGCCCCAGGCAGACGCUGCGGGCUGAAGGAAGCCUGUUCUCUGACAGCUCCCGAGCUGCUGCUGGCUUAGCAUCGCUCUUCUCUGACUUAAAACAGCUGCCAGGGGGAGGGGGCUAGAGAGGGGAUCCCCAAGAAAUCUCUAAUCAGGGUUGGGCAGAGAUAAGGGCUCUUGCAGAGACCCAGAGGAGCAUGCUAUCAGGUAGCCAGGACCAAGGGACUGGAAGAAAUUGAUGGCAAAAGCCCCCGCCAAAAAAAAAAAAAAUCUAGCAAUAUGUUUUUUGUUUGUUUUGUUUUCUUUCUGGCCCCUCCUUUCCUUUGCCUAUCUUGGCUUGUGUGUGCCCCCUCCCCACAUCUGUGAUUCCCCUGAGAAGAACAUCCCUGGCCUGCACCUCUUCUCCAGGCACCCCCAGCAUUUCCCAGAGUGCACCAAAGCUGCCCAGAGAUCAAGGAACCUGCUGUGUGUUCUUCAUCCUCCUGCAGAAGCAGGGCCCUUGGAGCAGCUUGGGAAGCAGACUCAGAGCCUGCAGUCAAAGGCCCACUCCCUCUGGGUGACUUGUUCCCUGAUGCCUGUCUACAGAGCAGAUGUGAAGAAGCAAUACAGGGUCUGGAUGCCCAGGAUAGCCACAAGCUUGGAAAAGUACGUCUCCUGCCCCUUCCACCCCUGAUUGUUUGAAGUGUGCUCCUAACUUCUCCAUCUCAGAGUAUCUGAGACCUAUCGCCCGUCCUCCCAGGAUUCUGACUGAAUUAAAAUCUUUGCAGAGCUGGAGGUUGGACCCGUGAAUCCAUGCAUGCCAGGGUCCACUUUCAUGUCGGACUGAUCCAUGCAAUUGUCUAUGCUUCUGGCAAGUGGGAGGAAAGAGGAGACUUCAGAGGAACAAAUUCAGUGACCCGUGGCCCUGCACACAGGAACAGUGGUACCUUGCCUGGCCAAGUCCCAGGGAAGCUAGCCCACAGCUCCCAGACCUUAGCCACCAGCUCAGGGCAAAGAGCAGAGGAUUUGAGCGUUAGCAA
This is a long non-coding RNA of Alexandromys fortis (reed vole), 1378 nucleotides long. RefSeq lists it as uncharacterized. The transcript is spliced from 3 exons. The record is from RefSeq and is a predicted model, not a curated record. NCBI's taxonomy places the organism in Eukaryota, Metazoa, Chordata, Mammalia, Rodentia, Cricetidae.